CCGGCGACCGGCGGACGGGUGCGUAACGCGUAUGUAACCUACCUUUGACAGGGGGAUAACAUCGAGAAAUUGGUACUAAUACCCCAUAACAUCACCGGAGGCAUCUUCGGUGGUUGAAAACUCAGGUGGUCAGAGAUGGACAUGCGUUGUAUUAGCUAGUUGGUGAGGUAACGGCUCACCAAGGCGACGAUACAUAGGGGGACUGAGAGGUCAACCCCCUCAUUGGUACUGAGACACGGCCAAACUCCUACGGAAGGCAGCAG
RNAcentral lists this ribosomal RNA (263 nucleotides) under uncultured bacterium. Its description in RNAcentral is "partial 16S ribosomal RNA". It matches the Rfam family "Bacterial small subunit ribosomal RNA", at positions 88 to 354 of the family's 1533-position model. The record is from RNAcentral.